This 450-nucleotide ribosomal RNA is filed under the name uncultured bacterium. RNAcentral's name for it is "bacterial SSU rRNA". It matches the Rfam family "Bacterial small subunit ribosomal RNA", at positions 354 to 796 of the family's 1533-position model. The record is from RNAcentral.
GUGGGGAAUAUUGGACAAUGGGCGAAAGCCUGAUCCAGCCAUGCCGCGUGUGUGAAGAAGGUCUUCGGAUUGUAAAGCACUUUAAGUUGGGAGGAAGGGCAGUAAGUUAAUACCUUGCUGUUUUGACGUUACCGACAGAAUAAGCACCGGCUAACUUCGUGCCAGCAGCCGCGGUAAUACGAAGGGUGCAAGCGUUAAUCGGAAUUACUGGGCGUAAAGCGCGCGUAGGUGGUUUUGUAAGUUGGAGGUGAAAUCCCCGGGCUCAACCUGGGAACUGCAUCCAAAGCUGCAUGACUAGAGUACGGUAGAGGGUAGUGGAAUUUCCUGUGUAGCGGUGAAAUGCGUAGAUAUAGGAAGGAACACCAGUGGCGAAGGCGACUACCUGGACUGAUACUGACACUGAGGUGCGAAAGCGUGGGGAGCAAACAGGAUUAGAUACCCUUGUAGUCC